RNAcentral lists this ribosomal RNA (254 nucleotides) under uncultured bacterium. RNAcentral describes it as "partial 16S ribosomal RNA". It matches the Rfam family "Bacterial small subunit ribosomal RNA", at positions 524 to 776 of the family's 1533-position model. The record is from RNAcentral.
UACGUAGGGUGCGAGCGUUGUCCGGAAUUACUGGGCGUAAAGAGCUCGUAGGCGGUCUGUCGCGUCGGUCGUGAAAACUUGGGGCUUAACCCUGAGCUUGCGGUCGAUACGGGCAUGACUGGAGUUCGGCAGGGGAGAAUGGAAUUCCUGGUGUAGCGGUGAAAUGCGCAGAUAUCAGGAGGAACACCGGUGGCGAAGGCGGGUCUCUGGGCCGAUACUGACGCUGAGGAGCGAAAGCGUGGGGAGCAAAAAGG